Long non-coding RNA from Monodelphis domestica (gray short-tailed opossum), 1552 nucleotides. RefSeq lists it as uncharacterized. NCBI's taxonomy places the organism in Eukaryota, Metazoa, Chordata, Mammalia, Didelphimorphia, Didelphidae. The record is from RefSeq and is a predicted model, not a curated record.
AGUAUUUGCAAUUAUUCUAAGACCAAUUCUUGUCUUCUUCACAUAAGAUGAAGAAAAUGCCUGUUGGUCAGUUGCUGAGCUGGAACUGAACACAUAUUUGAAAGGACACCAACUGGCCAAAGUGAUUGUUUGGUUCUAAUGAGGAGGAUGGAAUGUUGUGGACCUCCAGGUAGGGAUGGAGUCAUGGACCCUCCCUCACCCAGGCAUGCCAGUCCCAUUCCUUCUAUCUUGGUUAAAUGGAUUCUUUUCUGCUCUUGGGUGAUGAAGUAUGGAAGAGAGCUGUCACUUUAUGAGCUUUGAGAUCCUGGAAGGCAAAACUUACAGAAGUCCAAGAAGUAGAGUCUGUACCAGUUUAUCAGCAGGUGAACCCAGUGAGGGUUAACCUGUGGGAUCUGGCCUCAAAAAGAACCUUACUAGAUAGCAUUUUCUGGAAAUAUUUCAUUGGUUGUGCUACAUUCAGGAGUGAACUUGUGUAUCCUGAUUUGAAGAACACGUCUUCAAUCAAGACUAGAAGAUGAAGAGUGGCAUGCUCACCAGAGAGGAAGACAGAGUUCUACAAGCAGCAUAAAAAGACAAAGAAGGACUUUGGAACUUUGGAAUUUUGGAACUUCUGAUCAUGAAGAUAUGUAAGAAUGUGUCAUACAUGUUAACAUCACAUAUAUGCAUGCAUAUGCUACACAGAAUUACACUUUAGGAAGAUGUCUCAUGGAAUGGGUUUAAGCAUAAAGAAACACUGCAAUCAAUGCCUCCCACCUGGCAAAAGGGCAAGCUUCCUAUUGUUGGCUCCAACAUAUGAGUUGGCCAUCAGGAUCAAGGAUUACUUGGCAUCUCUGCCCAAGGUGAGGGUAUGACUGAAUUCAAGAGCCAGAAUCACAUCACUUGAGCAGAUGGACACAAACACCUAGAGCCAAAAUCAUAUGUGCCAAAGAUGGCUAAAGAAAGCAGGAGACCAAGCCACAAACAUCUAAACAGCUGUCAAAAUCUGGAUCAAGGAAGACAAUUUUGGCUAAGAACCAUCCAAGCACAGUCAGUUUUAGUCAGAGCUAUAUUUGUCUUCUGGAAAAGUCAGGAAUGUCACAAGAAUUUGUUGGAGUCAAAAACCUCAAGUCAUAGAAAUAGUAACAAAUAUUAAAAUGAAAUGUGACUGAAAGUUAAAUGAUUUUUUGGUUUUCUAUAUGUUUAUUUAUCACCUAUGUACAAAUUAACACUGUUUAUGGAAGUACAUUGGGAAGUACAUUAUGGAAGUCCAUUCAAAAUCCUCUUCUGAUUAACACAAAAAUUUUAAUUACACCAAUAUCAUCUUUGAAAGGAUAACUUUUUUUACAUAAGCACAAAUUAAUAGUUUAACUAAUUGGCCCCUGUUGUUAUAAACACUUAUUAACUUGCUAACCUUACAUAGCCCAAGAGUAAUUUUGUAAUAUAUGCAAAAAUCUCUCAAUUUUUCUCUCUCAAAUCCAGGAUUUCUCCCCUUCCUAGGGAAUUGCAGAAUUUUAAAUCUACACAGGCAAUUAUCUUAAGUGAGUUCAGCUUUGAUCUAAUAAAGAUCUAAAUC